Tympanuchus pallidicinctus (lesser prairie-chicken) is the source of this 2793-nucleotide long non-coding RNA. RefSeq lists it as uncharacterized. The record is from RefSeq and is a predicted model, not a curated record. The transcript is spliced from 6 exons. NCBI's taxonomy places the organism in Eukaryota, Metazoa, Chordata, Aves, Galliformes, Phasianidae.
UGCGCUCACAGUAUGUGCCCUCUGGUGGGAAAGCAAAAGCUUCACAGAGAGGGAAUUAAUGCUGAUCAGCCCAUACUCCGCUGAGCUACUUCGUUCCACAAGGUCAGCAGCCAGCUGGCCAGGGAGAGCUUUGCUGGAGAGCAGCUGACACUUGCAGAGGUGUUCAGACAGGAUUCAUCACAGUGGGCAAAGGACAAACCCAUGUUAUAAACAUCACUGCUCCACUCACACAAUUGUUACAGAAGAAUUUCUCUGAAAUUUUCAUCCCUAGUGGGAGAUUUCUAAAACUCUUGUAUGUUUUAUACCAAUAUCCAUCUUCCUUUCUAUCCACAAAGGUAGGAACGACAGAAGCACAGAUCAAAGAUAAGAGUGGAUCUACAUUCCUGUCGCAAUCUGGGGACCUUGACUUCAUUACUUAGGGAACAAAAUUAUUUGAUAACUCUCUGACAUCUUCUGCAUCUUCUGGGAACCUGUUCAGAAUGACCACGUUUGUAAAAUCUGAUAAUGAUCUCUGUGUUGAACUUGAUUGUGUUUCUGUCACUAUGCAGGAGCAGCUGCCAAAGCAAUUCUGAGGACCCAUGUGAGAAGUGUGUACUCUUCAAGUUUUUGUUCCAACAAGUGCAGUUCCAAGUAACUCUUGGAUGUGACUAAUCUGGACGUGCCGAUUUAGGAAUAUCUAAAUUUAGAACCUGCAGAUAACUAGAUCUUCUCUGUUCUCCCUUUACUGGAAGCUCACUCCAAAGAACUAUGAGAGUCAAAGACACUGCUGACACGAGGCAUCAACCUCCCAGUGCCUGCUUUCAAGUCAGAGACAUGGUAUACUUGCAUCUGCAAGUCUACAUUCCUCUAUAUAUCACUGCUAAUUGCCAGAAUAUUACUUUUUCUGGGAACAGUCUCUCUCUGGUUUCAAUAAGAAGCUCUACAUAGAGUGAGAAAUCUUACUCAGGGGAAAUUUUAUUGGGAGCAUGAGGCUUGGCAUCUGGUAGAAGAGCUGAUGCGGCUGAUCUGAACAGACCUCGUGGCCUCUGUGCUUCCAGCUGCCCUCUCAAAUCCCUCAGCUCCCUUUCCACUGCCAAAAGUGCUUGUGUAGCUAAACAGCUGAACCAGGAAUUGAUCCAGCAAACAGACCAUCAAAAAAUAAAUUGUUAUUUUCCAAUUGACACUAUUGUAAAGGGAGAACUGUUCUCAACAGAAAAACAAAGACAUACCUAGAAAAUGGAACAGCUACAGAGCUACACAAAUUACAGUGCAGGAGAAGUUGCUUUGAUGCUACUACUUUGAUGCUAUUCUAAAUAGGUGGGUUUAGAGUUACAUUUUUCUCCCAUUCAAAAAUGGGCUACAUUUCAGAAGUACCCUUGGAAAUGAGCCUGUCCCACUGAGAGGGAGCAAAUCUUAGACAGCUGAGAUGCUGAAUGGUAUAUAUGCACAGUUUACUUUUAAUGGGAUCUCAUUUAUGAGGUAUUUGAGUGGAGCUUGAGAAGCAUCAUUACAUUCUUUUCUCUAUCAGCCAGACUCCCCAGCCAGGAAAACUAGCUUUCUUACAGACUUGCAUGUAACUUGAGUAAGUUAGUUAACAUUUCCUUACAAUCAGCAAUUUACUGGAAUAGUGGAUAAGUGUGAUUAAUUAAAACAAAACAAAAGAAUAAGACCAUUUCUAGGGGGCAAUCUAUUGAAUGCAGUUCAGACAUACAUUAGUGUUCUUCAGAAAGGGUCAACUCAAGUCCAAAAUUUUAUUGGCUCCAGCACUGGUUCUGCUGGGUUUGGCUAACAGCCUGGCCACUCAAAUGGCCCCAUACUUUUAGUUACUUGAAAAUCACUUCCCAUAUGCACCACGCGUGUUCAUGGAACCAGCCUGUGUCAUUCACAUCUAAGUCAAUACAAACUCUGAGAAUCUCAGGCAUGAGGAGCACAGUGCAGAGAUCUUCAGGUGACCCAGAAGGGACAUUCUGAAAGCAAGGAGAACCAGCAGGGGCAACAGCUAUUAAGGCUGCUCACCUGAACAGUUGAGCCUGACUGCACCAGGAUUCCCAAUGAGUACGGCACUAAGCUAAAAUGUCCCGCUAGAAGUGAGCUACCUCCGCGUGAGGCCAGUCGGGGGUACCUGUAUCAGGUCCACCCACCCACCGGGCUAAUCCCGCCACCGCCAGGGAGGCUCUGUGCCGUGGGAGAUGGCACGAGGUGGCGCUCUCUGAUGGCGUCUUCAAAGAGCGCAGUUUGAGGCAGAGCGUCAUUUGUUUGUUGAAGGGCUUUUGGGUGGAAAUUCGUUGGAGCCCCCUCGAGCUUCUGCUCAGCUGUUUGAGGUGGGCGAGUUGCCUGGCAGCCAGCGCUGCUCUGUUCAGCUGCAGCUGUGUCUGCUUGCAGGACUUGGUUGCCUGCUGAAGUGAAGCACGGUCUGUUUAACAAAACACACACUGCUGAGUUUUCUAUACUGAAAAAAGUCAAUGCACAAUGUCCCACGUGUCUUCCAUCUCUUAGUUCAGGGGCAGCAAUAACAUUUUAAGAAGAGUUGACAACAUUUGUGUUGCUUGAGGAUGUUAACAGCUCCAGUGAAGCCAGUCUGUGAUCUGCAGGCCAAGCCAACAGGAAUUCGUAGCCUAACUGAAGAGAGAAAUCAAAUUUGCCUUUGUAUUAUGAUCACCGGAGAAGUCAAUGCCCAGGAUGGUUUCUGAUCAAACUUACCCUGGGAAACACUAAAGGCUUAUCUAUAUCUCAGUGCUGUUACAGGUCAAAUUUAAUUAUUUUACCUUAAAAGGGCACUUGGAAUCCAAAAUAAAAAUAUUUUGUUGAAAAUUA